This is a non-coding RNA of Ricinus communis (castor bean), 137 nucleotides long. Lineage: Eukaryota; Viridiplantae; Streptophyta; Magnoliopsida; Malpighiales; Euphorbiaceae. The record is from Rfam.
CAGCAGGAGUCAGUCCUGCAGGGGUAGAAGUCAGAGGCCCCGUAGCUUGGAUAGCAGGGUGGCGGGAAACCAAGACCUUGAAGCCUAUCGACAGGCAUUUCCUUGGGGAAUGCGCGAGUCAUCGGGCCGUAACAAAA